AUGAAGUUCUCGGAUCGUAAAGUUCUGUUAUGAGGGAAGAACAAGUGCCGUUUGAAUAAGGCGGCACCUUGACGGUACCUCACGAGAAAGCCCCGGCUAACUACGUGCCAGCAGCCGCGGUAAUACGUAGGGGGCAAGCGUUGUCCGGAAUUAUUGGGCGUAAAGCGCGCGCAGGCGGUCUCUUAAGUCUGAUGUGAAAGCCCACCGGCUCAACCGUGGAGGGUCAUUGGAAUCUGGGAGACUUGAGUGUAAGAGAGGAAAGUGGAAUUCCACGUGUAGCGGUGAAAUGCGUAGAUAUGUGGAGGAACACCAGUGGCGAAGGCGACUUUCUGGCUUACAACUGACGCUGAGGCGCGAAAGCGUGGGGAGCAAACAGGAUUAGAUACCCUGGUAGUCCACGCCGUAAACGAUGAGUGCUAGGUGUUAGGGGUAACGAUACCCUUAGUGCCGAAGUUAACACAUUAAGCACUCCGCCUGGGGAGUACGGCCCGCAAGGCUGAAACUCAAAGGAAUUGACUGGGGGCCCNGCACAAGCAAGUGGAGCCGGUGGUUUAAUUCUGAAUCAAC
Molecule: ribosomal RNA, 567 nt
Filed under: Bacillus sp. (in: firmicutes)
Lineage: Bacteria; Bacillati; Bacillota; Bacilli; Caryophanales; Bacillaceae
Description: bacterial SSU rRNA
Rfam family: Bacterial small subunit ribosomal RNA
Source: RNAcentral